UCUCGGCUUAUCACCGGCAGUCCCCCUAGAGUGCCCAACUGAAUGAUGGCAACUAAGGGCAAGGGUUGCGCUCGUUGCGGGACUUAACCCAACAUCUCACGACACGAGCUGACGACAGCCAUGCAGCACCUGUGUGCAGGUCCCCGAAGGGAAACCGUGUUUCCACGGCGGUCAGGAACAUGUCAAACCCAGGUAAGGUUCUUCGCGUUGCGUCGAAUUAAACCACAUGCUCCGCUGCUUGUGCGGGUCCCCGUCAAUUCCUUUGAGUUUUAGCCUUGCGGCCGUACUCCCCAGGCGGGAUGCUUAAUGCGUUUGCGACGGCACGGAAGGGGUUGAUGCCUCCCACACCUAGCACCCAACGUUUACGGCUGGGACUAC
RNAcentral lists this unclassified non-coding RNA (378 nucleotides) under uncultured bacterium. RNAcentral describes it as "contains 16S-23S intergenic spacer region". The record is from RNAcentral.